UGUUUCGCUGCUCCACUUUACUUCAAUUCAUUUUUUUUGUUUAUUUUUAUUCAGUCAUGUAUGCAUAAUGAUAUGUAUGUUGUUUGGAAUGGCUUUUUGAUAUGCAGUGCAUGCCUUACACAUUACUUCAUUUGUUUUGAUUUUUCGUUUGAUGGAUGCAAGAUGUUGAUGACGGUGCUAUGUUGUGAAGGGCAUGAUAAAAAUGAUGUGGAUAGGGAAUAACCCGUGGGUUGCAAGGUCAAAGUGGAACCUC
RNAcentral lists this long non-coding RNA (253 nucleotides) under Lathyrus oleraceus (garden pea). RNAcentral's name for it is "Pisum sativum (pea) long non-coding RNA (PSAT_LNC022456)". The record is from RNAcentral. Lineage: Eukaryota; Viridiplantae; Streptophyta; Magnoliopsida; Fabales; Fabaceae.